Molecule: ribosomal RNA, 359 nt
Filed under: uncultured bacterium
Lineage: Bacteria
Description: bacterial SSU rRNA
Rfam family: Bacterial small subunit ribosomal RNA
Source: RNAcentral
GAGUUUUGAUCCUGGCUCAGGAUGAACGCUAGCUACAGGCUUAACACAUGCAAGUCGAGGGGAAACGACAUCGAAAGCUUGCUUUUUGAUGGGCGUCGACCGGCGCACGGGUGAGUAACGCGUAUCCAACCUGCCCACCACUUGGGGGAUAACCUUGCGAAAGUAAGACUAAUACCCAAUGAUAUCUCUAGAAGACAUCUGAAAGAGAUUAAAGAUUUAUCGGUGAUGGAUGGGGAUGCGUCUGAUUAGCUUGUUGGCGGGGUAACGGCCCACCAAGGCGACGAUCAGUAGGGGUUCUGAGAGGAAGGUCCCCCACAUUGGAACUGAGACACGGUACCAAACUCCUACGGGAGGCAGCA